Molecule: ribosomal RNA, 253 nt
Filed under: uncultured bacterium
Lineage: Bacteria
Description: partial 16S ribosomal RNA
Rfam family: Bacterial small subunit ribosomal RNA
Source: RNAcentral
UACGUAGGGUGCGAGCGUUGUCCGGAAUUAUUGGGCGUAAAGAGCUUGUAGGUGGUUUGUCGCGUCUGCUGUGAAAAUCCGAGGCUCAACCUCGGACCUGCAGUGGGUACGGGCAGACUAGAGUGUGGUAGGGGAGACUGGAAUUCCUGGUGUAGCGGUGAAAUGCGCAGAUAUCAGGAGGAACACCGGUGGCGAAGGCGGGUCUCUGGGCCGAUACUGACGCUGAGGAGCGAAAGCGUGGGGAGCGAACAGG